Heterocephalus glaber (naked mole-rat) is the source of this 1905-nucleotide long non-coding RNA. The record is from Ensembl. NCBI's taxonomy places the organism in Eukaryota, Metazoa, Chordata, Mammalia, Rodentia, Bathyergidae.
GAGCAUGUGAUAGAGAUCAGCAGGUGUCAGGAGCUCUUUUACCGGAGCCUGAAGGAUUGUUAUAAGGGGACGGCUGAGGACUGAAGAAACACUACAGUGUGGCCCUGGAUCUCUAGCUGGAGUUUGUAGCCUGAGAAACACGAUACAAAAAAGAGACAAGCUACGCUAAGAUGAAGAACAUGACAGGAGGCCCAAGCCCCAAGUUCAGACAAGCAGACCUGCAGUCCUCAGCAGGCAAGUGACUAGGUCUGUGGACAUCGUAGCAACGUCACGAGUCACGUGGAACCUGCCGAAUCAGCCCGCACCCCGACAGCAAUCCACUGGACACCCCGCCCCCGGCUCCUCUGUACAACCACCUGGUUCCACACUACAAAGACACAGAGGACACCGGACCACCAGACCACUGUACUGGAACAUCAAUGGACAUGAUGCAGCAGAGGAUUCUAAUGUUUUGAUCUUUGUUGAGCAUGCUCUGAGAACCCUAUGCCCCAGAAUCCAUACAAGUGUCUUAGACUUGAACCCAACUCACAAGGAGGAAUUGUGUCCAGCCAAGCUUCUGUCUGAAGUAGAACCUCCUGCUGGAGCCCAGCCUGGAUCAAGUAAACUACAGAGAACCUGCAGACCAUGGGCAUAGGACUGAAUGCUUGUUUUAAGUGACUGAAUGCUGGGGUGGUUUGCUAAAUGGUAUGAUUUUCACAACAGAUAACUAAUACACCACUCUGGGGUCCAGAACACGCUGUAUUUGCCUAAAUAAACCAUGUACCUUGUUCAUCAUUGCAUUUCCUGUUUCUACUGCACUGUCUGAUAUUUAGCAGGUGUUCAAAAAUAUGUGUUGAAGGGAUGAAAAAAUGGCUCCUGACCUGGGUAAUCUCACAGGCUAGUGUGUGAGACAGUUCUGGGAACAAAUAGUUACAUUGUAAAGUGAUAAAUGCAGCAAUAGAAGAGCUAUGAUAGCAUGGAGGUGGGAAGCCUUCAAAUGUUGUGUUAUCUACACCAAGGAAAAGUGUAAAGCACCAGUACUCAUGUUUGUACAUAAUAAGGACACUUAAGCUACCAUCAGAGGCUUCUUCGUAAGCUUAUUGGUACAAGAUUGGCUAUUUUGAAAGUCACUAAACAGACUUAAAAGUUCCUGCCAGUACUUAAUAAAUUCUGAUUUCAAAAAUUUUUCAGUGUAUAUAAUGAAUAAAAUGAGAUAUAUAGAAUCUGGAUUGUAUCCAAGAAAAAUGGCAAUGGGCUUAAGGAAUGAAAUUCCAGACAGUUGUAUACUAGCAUAUAUGUUUAAAUACCCUGAAAAGGCAAAUCAUUGCUUAAUGAAUAAAAAUGAGGAUUGGAAAAUCUGUGUAGUAAAUGAAGGUAGGGGGAAGUUCACAAUACAAGAUACAUCUACUUUUCAUUUUCUACUUUGCAUUAAAAAUAAAAGUCCUCCUCAAGUAACGAGUGACCAACUGGUCUGUUCUCUCUUUUUGAUCCAAACCUCUUUGCAGGAGGACUUCGAGGGCUGGCUGAUUCUUAAGUUGUUCAGGCUUAGAAAUGCAUUGUCACUCCUGUCUAGGUGUUGCAAAGCGAGAGAUAUGCAACAAGACUUGUUUAUGAGGUGAAAUAGCAAAAUAUUUCCAAGGGCUAAGCCUGUCUGUAUUCAUUUGGGAUGGUCGGUCGGCUUCUUAUUGGAACUGCUGAGCAGCCUUCCCUCUCAAUCUGUCACCUUCCUCUCUUUUUUCUAUCAUCCAAAAAGUGUAUUAAAAUUCCACUUCACUGGUAUCUCCUCUAGCACUCUGCUUAUCCUCAGGGAUCAAUACCUUUUUCCUGAUGUGUUAGCAAAGUUUGGGGCAGUGGAAGACUAAAUUGUGUUGUGGUCAUUAUGACUUUUAGGGAGGAAAGGAGAAUAGGAAAAAAACAAGAACCAAG